GAGGAGCCCAGAGCCUGAAUCAGUGUGUGUGUUAGUGGAAGCGUCUGGAAAGGCGUGCGAUACAGGGUGACAGCCCCGUACACAAAAAUGCACAUAUUGUGAGCUCGAUGAGUAGGGCGGGACACGUGGUAUCCUGUCUGAAUAUGGGGGGACCAUCCUCCAAGGCUAAAUACUCCUGACUGACCGAUAGUGAACCAGUACCGUGAGGGAAAGGCGAAAAGAACCCCGGCGAGGGGAGUGAAAAAGAACCUGAAACCGUGUACGUACAAGCAGUGGGAGCCUCUUAAUGGGGUGACUGCGUACCUUUUGUAUAAUGGGUCAGCGACUUAUAUUCUGUAGCAAGGUUAACCGAAUAGGGGAGCCGAAGGGAAACCGAGUCUUAACUGGGCGUUAAGUUGCAGGGUAUAGACCCGAAACCCGGUGAUCUAGCCAUGGGCAGGUUGAAGGUUGGGUAACACUAACUGGAGGACCGAACCGACUAAUGUUGAAAAAUUAGCGGAUGACUUGUGGCUGGGGGUGAAAGGCCAAUCAAACCGGGAGAUAGCUGGUUCUCCCCGAAAGCUAUUUAGGUAGCGCCUCGUGAAUUCAUCUCCGGGGGUAGAGCACUGUUUCGGCAAGGGGGUCAUCCCGACUUACCAACCCGAUGCAAACUGCGAAUACCGGAGAAUGUUAUCACGGGAGACACACGGCGGGUGCUAACGUCCGUCGUGAAGAGGGAAACAACCCAGACCGCCAGCUAAGGUCCCAAAGUCAUGGUUAAGUGGGAAACGAUGUGGGAAGGCCCAGACAGCCAGGAUGUUGGCUUAGAAGCAGCCAUCAUUUAAAGAAAGCGUAAUAGCUCACUGGUCGAGUCGGCCUGCGCGGAAGAUGUAACGGGGCUAAACCAUGCACCGAAGCUGCGGCAGCGACACUAUGUGUUGUUGGGUAGGGGAGCGUUCUGUAAGCCUGUGAAGGUGGCCUGUGAGGGUUGCUGGAGGUAUCAGAAGUGCGAAUGCUGACAUAAGUAACGAUAAAGCGGGUGAAAAGCCCGCUCGCCGGAAGACCAAGGGUUCCUGUCCAACGUUAAUCGGGGCAGGGUGAGUCGACCCCUAAGGCGAGGCCGAAAGGCGUAGUCGAUGGGAAACAGGUUAAUAUUCCUGUACUUGGUGUUACUGCGAAGGGGGGACGGAGAAGGCUAUGUUGGCCGGGCGACGGUUGUCCCGGUUUAAGCGUGUAGGCUGGUUUUCCAGGCAAAUCCGGAAAACCAAGGCUGAGGCGUGAUGACGAGGCACUACGGUGCUGAAGCGACAAAUGCCCUGCUUCCAGGAAAAGCCUCUAAGCAUCAGGUAACAUCAAAUCGUACCCCAAACCGACACAGGUGGUCAGGUAGAGAAUACCAAGGCGCUUGAGAGAACUCGGGUGAAGGAACUAGGCAAAAUGGUGCCGUAACUUCGGGAGAAGGCACGCUGAUAUGUAGGUGAAGCGACUUGCUCGUGGAGCUGAAAUCAGUCGAAGAUACCAGCUGGCUGCAACUGUUUAUUAAAAACACAGCACUGUGCAAACACGAAAGUGGACGUAUACGGUGUGACGCCUGCCCGGUGCCGGAAGGUUAAUUGAUGGGGUUAGCGGUAACGCGAAGCUCUUGAUCGAAGCCCCGGUAAACGGCGGCCGUAACUAUAACGGUCCUAAGGUAGCGAAAUUCCUUGUCGGGUAAGUUCCGACCUGCACGAAUGGCGUAAUGAUGGCCAGGCUGUCUCCACCCGAGACUCAGUGAAAUUGAACUCGCUGUGAAGAUGCAGUGUACCCGCGGCAAGACGGAAAGACCCCGUGAACCUUUACUAUAGCUUGACACUGAACAUUGAGCCUUGAUGUGUAGGAUAGGUGGGAGGCUUUGAAGUGUGGACGCCAGUCUGCAUGGAGCCGACCUUGAAAUACCACCCUUUAAUGUUUGAUGUUCUAACGUUGGCCCGUAAUCCGGGUUGCGGACAGUGUCUGGUGGGUAGUUUGACUGGGGCGGUCUCCUCCUAAAGAGUAACGGAGGAGCACGAAGGUUGGCUAAUCCUGGUCGGACAUCAGGAGGUUAGUGCAAUGGCAUAAGCCAGCUUGACUGCGAGCGUGACGGCGCGAGCAGGUGCGAAAGCAGGUCAUAGUGAUCCGGUGGUUCUGAAUGGAAGGGCCAUCGCUCAACGGAUAAAAGGUACUCCGGGGAUAACAGGCUGAUACCGCCCAAGAGUUCAUAUCGACGGCGGUGUUUGGCACCUCGAUGUCGGCUCAUCACAUCCUGGGGCUGAAGUAGGUCCCAAGGGUAUGGCUGUUCGCCAUUUAAAGUGGUACGCGAGCUGGGUUUAGAACGUCGUGAGACAGUUCGGUCCCUAUCUGCCGUGGGCGCUGGAGAACUGAGGGGGGCUGCUCCUAGUACGAGAGGACCGGAGUGGACGCAUCACUGGUGUUCGGGUUGUCAUGCCAAUGGCACUGCCCGGUAGCUAAAUGCGGAAGAGAUAAGUGCUGAAAGCAUCUAAGCACGAAACUUGCCCCGAGAUGAGUUCUCCCUGACUCCUUGAGAGUCCUGAAGGAACGUUGAAGACGACGACGUUGAUAGGCCGGGUGUG
Molecule: ribosomal RNA, 2588 nt
Filed under: Escherichia coli
Lineage: Bacteria; Pseudomonadati; Pseudomonadota; Gammaproteobacteria; Enterobacterales; Enterobacteriaceae
Description: partial 23S ribosomal RNA
Rfam family: Bacterial large subunit ribosomal RNA
Source: RNAcentral